Molecule: ribosomal RNA, 468 nt
Filed under: uncultured bacterium
Lineage: Bacteria
Description: partial 16S ribosomal RNA
Rfam family: Bacterial small subunit ribosomal RNA
Source: RNAcentral
ACCCAGACUCCUACGGGAGGCAGCAGUGAGGAAUAUUGGUCAAUGGCCGGAAGGCUGAACCAGCCAAGCCGCGUGAAGGACGAAGGUGCCAAGCAUUGUAAACUUCUUUUGUCAAGGGACAAAAUCAGGCUCGAGAGCCUGACCGAGGGUACUUGAAGAAAAAGCAUCGGCUAACUCCGUGCCAGCAGCCGCGGUAAUACGUAGGUGGCAAGCGUUAUCCGGAUUUACUGGGUGUAAAGGGCGUGUAGGCGGGAAAGCAAGUCAGAUGUGAAAACCAUGGGCUCAACCUGUGGCCUGCAUUUGAAACUGUUUUUCUUGAGUACUGGAGAGGCAGAUGGAAUUCCUAGUGUAGCGGUGAAAUGCGUAGAUAUUAGGAGGAACACCAGUGGCGAAGGCGGUCUGUUGGACAGCAACUGACGCUGAGGCGCGAAAGCGUGGGGAGCAAACAGGAUUAGAUACCCUUGUACG